UGGGGAAUAUUGCACAAUGGGCGCAAGCCUGAUGCAGCCAUGCCGCGUGUAUGAAGAAGGCCUUCGGGUUGUAAAGUACUUUCAGCGAGGAGGAAGGCGUUGUGGUUAAUAACCGCAACGAUUGACGUUACUCGCAGAAGAAGCACCGGCUAACUCCGUGCCAGCAGCCGCGGUAAUACGGAGGGUGCAAGCGUUAAUCGGAAUUACUGGGCGUAAAGCGCACGCAGGCGGUCUGUCAAGUCGGAUGUGAAAUCCCCGGGCUCAACCUGGGAACUGCAUCCGAAACUGGCAGGCUAGAGUCUUGUAGAGGGGGGUAGAAUUCCAGGUGUAGCGGUGAAAUGCGUAGAGAUCUGGAGGAAUACCGGUGGCGAAGGCGGCCCCCUGGACAAAGACUGACGCUCAGGUGCGAAAGCGUGGGGAGCAAACA
RNAcentral lists this ribosomal RNA (427 nucleotides) under uncultured bacterium. RNAcentral describes it as "bacterial SSU rRNA". It matches the Rfam family "Bacterial small subunit ribosomal RNA", at positions 355 to 774 of the family's 1533-position model. RNAcentral also lists the same sequence under 3 other names. The record is from RNAcentral.